This 465-nucleotide ribosomal RNA is filed under the name uncultured bacterium. RNAcentral describes it as "partial 16S ribosomal RNA". It matches the Rfam family "Bacterial small subunit ribosomal RNA", at positions 339 to 795 of the family's 1533-position model. The record is from RNAcentral.
CUACGGGUGGCAGCAGUGGGGAAUAUUGGACAAUGGGGGAAACCCUGAUCCAGCAAUGCCGCGUGUGUGAAGAAGGCCUGCGGGUUGUAAAGCACUUUCGGUUGGGAGGACUGCUUCUAGCACUAAUAUUGUUGGAAGUUGACGUUACCUUCAGAAGAAGCACCGGCUAACUCCGUGCCAGCAGCCGCGGUAAUACGGAGGGUGCAAGCGUUGAUCGGAAUUACUGGGCGUAAAGCGCGCGUAGGCGGCUAGAUCAGUCGGGUGUGAAAGCCCCGGGCUUAACCUGGGAACUGCAUCCGAUACGGUCCAGCUGGAGUACAGGAGAGGAGAGUGGAAUUCCACAUGUAGCGGUGAAAUGCGUAGAUAUGUGGAGGAACACCAAUGGCGAAGGCAGCUCUCUGGCCUGAUACUGACGCUGAGGUGCGAAAGCGUGGGGAGCAAACAGGAUUAGAUACCCGGGUAGUC